CCUACGGGAGGCAGCAGUGAGGAAUAUUGGUCAAUGGCCGGAAGGCUGAACCAGCCAAGCCGCGUGAAGGACGAAGGUGCCAAGCAUUGUAAACUUCUUUUGUCAAGGGACAAAAUCAGGCUCGAGAGCCUGACCGAGGGUACUUGAAGAAAAAGCAUCGGCUAACUCCGUGCCAGCAGCCGCGGUAAUACGGAGGAUGCGAGCGUUAUCCGGAUUUAUUGGGUUUAAAGGGUGCGUAGGCGGGCUGUUAAGUCAGCGGUAAAAGCCCGGGGCUCAACCCCGGCGAGCCGUUGAAACUGGCUGUCGUGAGAUGUCGAGAGGUAUGCGGAAUGCGCAGUGUAGCGGUGAAAUGCUUAGAUAGUGCGCAGAACUCCGAUUGCGAAGGCAGCAUACCGGCGGCGAUCGGACGCUGAGGCACGAAAGCGUGGGUAUCGAACAGGAUUAGAUACCCCAGUAGUC
RNAcentral lists this ribosomal RNA (459 nucleotides) under uncultured bacterium. RNAcentral describes it as "partial 16S ribosomal RNA". It matches the Rfam family "Bacterial small subunit ribosomal RNA", at positions 338 to 795 of the family's 1533-position model. The record is from RNAcentral.